Molecule: long non-coding RNA, 827 nt
Organism: Brassica oleracea var. oleracea
Lineage: Eukaryota; Viridiplantae; Streptophyta; Magnoliopsida; Brassicales; Brassicaceae
Exons: 3
Source: RefSeq, a predicted model, not a curated record
CUAAAAAUCUCACCAUACGAACCCUAGUUAAUCAUGGUCUAAGUCUCACCGAUCUUCUUCUCUUUCUUUCCCUCUCCACGUUUCUUUGAUUUUAAUCUUAUCAUUGUUUUUCAAUCUUAUUUGUUUCGAUUCGCUUCCUCACAUUCUCAGAUUUGAUCUCUAACCACCGUUGAUUGAAGCUUCACCACCACACUCCUUUUGACACCGUGUCACCAGCACCACCACCACCAUCGCUUCUUAGAUCCGUCUUCACCAGAGUCGCCACCACCACACGCUCAUCAUAAUCACCAUUCAGCUCUCUGUCUCUCACUUCUGUUUCUUGUUCUCUCUACAUCGAGAAAGAAGCACGAGGCGCUCACCAGUGGCAGUUCUUUUACCACAUCUAAAAGCAUUGCUUCAGGUCUGGUGUUUUGGCUGGUAAAUCUGCUAGAGCUUAAGUGAUUGAUGUUCUUUCUCUGCCUAAACAAACGCAUCUAUUUCUUCUCCGUGAAAAGACUUUGCGUUGCGCGUUUCCCGGGAUAGAGAACAGUUUAUCAAAGGAUUUGGCCGUGGCUCUAAAUGACUCGGAAUUCCUACAGUGGUGGGUUUUUUAAGCGAGAAGGGAUCACUUUCGGGCACUAAGGCAAAGAAUGGAGAGCGGUAAAAAGACAGUUCGCACAUCAUAACGGGGGAACUGCUUUUGUAUUCUCCAUUCAUCAUGCAAUCACAAUCAUAAAGUGGUUCAGGUUUAAAAUUAAUAAAUUAUUUAUGAACCACUAGUGGUUCAAAUCUGUGAACAAAAAAUAUGGUUCGCAAUGUACAGUAACAAUUCAGCAUAUUUGGAGUGU